UUUAAGCUUCCUACGGGAGGCUGCAGUGGGGAAUCUUGCGCAAUGGGCGAAAGCCUGACGCAGCCAUGCCGCGUGAAUGAUGAAGGUCUUAGGAUUGUAAAAUUCUUUCACCGGGGACGAUAAUGACGGUACCCGGAGAAGAAGCCCCGGCUAACUUCGUGCCAGCAGCCGCGGUAAUACGAAGGGGGCUAGCGUUGCUCGGAAUUACUGGGCGUAAAGGGAGCGUAGGCGGACAUUUAAGUCAGGGGUGAAAUCCCGGGGCUCAACCUCGGAAUUGCCUUUGAUACUGGGUGUCUUGAGUAUGAGAGAGGUGUGUGGAACUCCGAGUGUAGAGGUGAAAUUCGUAGAUAUUCGGAAGAACACCAGUGGCGAAGGCGACACACUGGCUCAUUACUGACGCUGAGGC
RNAcentral lists this ribosomal RNA (406 nucleotides) under uncultured bacterium. RNAcentral's name for it is "bacterial SSU rRNA". It matches the Rfam family "Bacterial small subunit ribosomal RNA", at positions 329 to 752 of the family's 1533-position model. The record is from RNAcentral.